CUCGUUGAGGGAGCCGGCCGCAAGGUCCUGAUCGAUUGCGGUUCGGGCGUGAGCCAGCGCCUGGUCGCCGCCGGCCAUCGAGGC
RNAcentral lists this transfer RNA (84 nucleotides) under Allobosea sp. LC85. RNAcentral's name for it is "Bosea sp. LC85 tRNA-Arg". The record is from RNAcentral. Lineage: Bacteria; Pseudomonadati; Pseudomonadota; Alphaproteobacteria; Hyphomicrobiales; Alloboseaceae.